RNAcentral lists this ribosomal RNA (466 nucleotides) under uncultured bacterium. Its description in RNAcentral is "partial 16S ribosomal RNA". It matches the Rfam family "Bacterial small subunit ribosomal RNA", at positions 30 to 507 of the family's 1533-position model. The record is from RNAcentral.
CGAACGCUGGCGGCGUGCUUACCACAUGCAAGUCGACCGGAAAGGCCCUGCUUUUGUGGGGUGCUCGAGUGGCGAACGGGUGAGUAACACGUGAGUAACCUGCCCUUGACUUUGGGAUAACUUCAGGAAACUGGGGCUAAUACCGGAUAGGAGCUCCUGCUGCAUGGUGGGGGUUGGAAAGUUUCGGCGGUUGGGGAUGGACUCGCGGCUUAUCAGCUUGUUGGUGGGGUAGUGGCUUACCAAGGCUUUGACGGGUAGCCGGCCUGAGAGGGUGACCGGCCACAUUGGGACUGAGAUACGGCCCAGACUCCUACGGGAGGCAGCAGGGGGGAAUAUUGCACAAUGGGCGGAAGCCUGAUGCAGCAACGCCGCGUGCGGGAUGACGGCCUUCGGGUUGUAAACCGCUUUCGCCUGUGACGAAGCGUGAGUGACGGUAAUGGGUAAAGAAGCACCGGCUAACUACGUG